RNAcentral lists this ribosomal RNA (495 nucleotides) under uncultured bacterium. Its description in RNAcentral is "partial 16S ribosomal RNA". It matches the Rfam family "Bacterial small subunit ribosomal RNA", at positions 28 to 507 of the family's 1533-position model. The record is from RNAcentral.
GACGAACGCUGGCGGCGUGCCUAAUACAUGCAAGUAGAACGCUGAAGGAGGAGCUUGCUUCUCUGGAUGAGUUGCGAACGGGUGAGUAACGCGUAGGUAACCUGCCUGGUAGCGGGGGAUAACUAUUGGAAACGAUAGCUAAUACCGCAUAAGAGUAGAUGUUGCAUGACAUUUACUUAAAAGGUGCAAUUGCAUCACUACCAGAUGGACCUGCGUUGUAUUAGCUAGUUGGUGAGGUAACGGCUCACCAAGGCAACGAUACAUAGCCGACCUGAGAGGGUGAUCGGCCACACUGGGACUGAGACACGGCCCAGACUCCUACGGGAGGCAGCAGUAGGGAAUCUUCGGCAAUGGACGGAAGUCUGACCGAGCAACGCCGCGUGAGUGAAGAAGGUUUUCGGAUCGUAAAGCUCUGUUGUAAGAGAAGAACGAGUGUGAGAGUGGAAAGUUCACACUGUGACGGUAUCUUACCAGAAGGGGACGGCUAACUACGUG